GAUGAACGCUGGCGGCGUGCCUAAUACAUGCAAGUCGAGCGAACAGACGAGGAGCUUGCUCCUCUGACGUUAGCGGCGGACGGGUGAGUAACACGUGGAUAACCUACCUAUAAGACUGGGAUAACUUCGGGAAACCGGAGCUAAUACCGGAUAAUAUAUUGAACCGCAUGGUUCAAUAGUGAAAGACGGUUUUGCUGUCACUUAUAGAUGGAUCCGCGCCGCAUUAGCUAGUUGGUAAGGUAACGGCUUACCAAGGCGACGAUGCGUAGCCGACCUGAGAGAGGGAUAGCCCACCUUGGAGCUGAAACGCGGUCCAGAGUCCUACGGGACGCAGCAGUAGGGAACCUGCCGCAAUGGGCGAGAGCCUGACGGAGCGACCGCGCGUGUGUGAUGAAGAUCUUCGGAUCGUAAAACUCUGUUAUGAGUGAAGAACAAAUGUGUAAGUAACUAUGCACUUCUUGACGGUACCUAGUCAGAAAGCCACGGCUAACUACGUG
This 497-nucleotide ribosomal RNA is filed under the name uncultured bacterium. Its description in RNAcentral is "partial 16S ribosomal RNA". It matches the Rfam family "Bacterial small subunit ribosomal RNA", at positions 28 to 507 of the family's 1533-position model. The record is from RNAcentral.